RNAcentral lists this long non-coding RNA (711 nucleotides) under Rattus norvegicus (Norway rat). RNAcentral describes it as "long non-coding RNA NONRATT018262". Lineage: Eukaryota; Metazoa; Chordata; Mammalia; Rodentia; Muridae. The record is from RNAcentral.
AAGCAGGUUCAUUUCACUGCAGGAACCUUCGCUUCCUCUAAUUGGCAACCUGGUGAAUGUAGCUGGGCAGGGAGGCCCUCCCGCAGGCACCAGCCUAGCUUGGCUUUGCAGGUCCUCCAGUGGCUCUCCCAAGCCCCAGUCCUGGCUCCUCACGGAAGCCAGUAGGGUUUCAGAAGCCUCCUUGCUGCUCCUCCUGCCUAGAACUGCAUCUAAACUUGCUCCAGAGAAGGGUUUAAGUCACUGUCGGGAAAGUGCCUUCUCGUUUCAACCUGUGUGUGCUUGCUGUGAUAUGCUUGAUCCUUCAACCCUUGGUUCUUCAGAAAAAUGUAAGAGACAAUAUCAAUUUACAGUCUAGAGAUCAAGUCCGAAUUGCGUACAUGUGUAAUGUUUGAUUACGAAAUUCUUUCUACAGCAAUGAUUUUGUAUUCAAACCCCAUAUACGCACCUUGAACUAACCGUUAACAUUUUACUCUGGUCAUUCCCUUUAUCGUUUGUCUAUCUCUCCAGCCACCUGAGCAAUACUUAUUUCAUAACACAUUUCAAAGUAGCUUAGAGACACCACACUCCUGCUUCCUAAUCGUGCCAGUACAAUUAGGGUUCAAUAAGAAACGGACAGAUCUUGUGUGCACAGUCGCUGGUUUUGAUAAGUGCGUACACCCCCUUAUGUUACCCUAAGCUCUGUCAAUAGAGCCCUACCACUCCCAGAAAGUU